Molecule: long non-coding RNA, 417 nt
Filed under: Homo sapiens (human)
Lineage: Eukaryota; Metazoa; Chordata; Mammalia; Primates; Hominidae
Description: HSALNT0374571
Source: RNAcentral
CUUCAACACAUACUGUCCUCCUGAGCCAGGACGCAGACCAUGACUACUUUUGCCUCUGCACGUCUGUUCUGAUUUCUUUCUUCAUGUGGGAUGCCUCUCUAUCCUUCUCCUGCUUUUAAUAUGGAGCUUCAGUCUCUAAGCUAAAAGGCCAAGUCCAGAUUCACCUGCCAAUGAAGCUCUUUAAAUUAUCUCUUCUUUCUCAGGACUCACUGGCUAUCAGACAUUACUUUAGGUGAAGACUUUCCAGUCUGACUUCCCUCACCUGAGCAAAAAGAAGCAUUGGAGAAGACACUUGAUGUCACAUUAAUGAAAGGGAAUAAUGGAUUAAGGAAAGCUUGGUAGCAAAAAGAAGUUAAAAUAUAUCUGAGAAAAGUAUUUUAAACCAUAAAUAACUUGCUCCUCUUGGCUGUGACACUU